This 492-nucleotide ribosomal RNA is filed under the name uncultured bacterium. RNAcentral's name for it is "partial 16S ribosomal RNA". It matches the Rfam family "Bacterial small subunit ribosomal RNA", at positions 29 to 507 of the family's 1533-position model. The record is from RNAcentral.
AGCGAACGCUGGCGGUAGGCCUAACACAUGCAAGUCGAACGGCAGCACAGUAAGAGCUUGCUCUUACGGGUGGCGAGUGGCGGACGGGUGAGGAAUACAUCGGAAUCUACUUUUUCGCGGGGGAUAACGUAGGGAAACUUACGCUAAUACCGCAUACGACCUACGGGUGAAAGCAGGGGAUCUUCGGACCUUGUGCGAUUGAAUGAGCCGACGUCGGAUUGGCUAGUUGGUGGGGUAAAGGCCCACCAAGUCGACGAUCCGUCGCUGGUCUGAGAGGAGGAUCGGCCGCACGAGAAGUGGGACACGGUCCAGGCUCCUGAGGUAGGGAGCAGUGGGGAAUAUUGGACAAUAGGGGCAAGCCUGAUCCAGCCAUACCGCGUGGGUGAAGAAGGCCUUCGGGUUGUAAAGCCCUUUUGUUGGGAAAAAAAAGCAGCAGGUUAAUACCCCGCUGUUCUGACGGUACCCGGUGAAUAAGCACCGGCUAACUACGUG